CACGUAGGGCGCGAGCGUUGUCCGGAAUUAUUGGGCGUAAAGAGCUCGUAGGCGGCCUGUUGCGUCCGCUGUGAAAGCCCGGGGCUUAACCCCGGGUCGGCAGUGGAUACGGGCAGGCUGGAGGUAGGUAGGGGAGAAUGGAAUUCCCGGUGUAGCGGUGAAAUGCGCAGAUAUCAGGAGGAACACCGGUGGCGAAGGCGGGUCUCUGGGCCGAUACUGACGCUGAGGAGCGAAAGCGUGGGGAGCGAACAGG
RNAcentral lists this ribosomal RNA (253 nucleotides) under uncultured bacterium. RNAcentral's name for it is "partial 16S ribosomal RNA". It matches the Rfam family "Bacterial small subunit ribosomal RNA", at positions 524 to 776 of the family's 1533-position model. The record is from RNAcentral.